CCUCACUGGAGUAGGUGUGGCCUCACUGGAGUAGGUGUGGCCUCACUGGAGUAGGUGUGGCCUUGUUGGGGGAGGUGUGUCACUAUGGGGGUGGGCUUUGAGAGCUUCCUCCUAGCUGCCUGAGGAAGCCAGUCUUCUUCUAUUUGCCUUCAGAACAAGAUGUAGAACUCUCAGCUCCUCCAGAGCCAUGCCUUCCUGGGCACUGCCGUGCUGCUUCCUUGAUGAUAAUGGACUGAACCUCUGAACCUCAACUUCAGAUGGUGCAUGUGGGAGUGAACAAACUGUCCCCUUGGAGGCCUGCUGAAACAUGUCAUCAUAGAACAGGGCAGCUUGGGGUGCUGUGUGGAAGAUACAUCAGUAGUGACUAGAACAUGGUCGAACGUCACUGAAACUCGAGAAGAGGUCAUUGCUCCCAUUCCUCCAUCAACUACAGCUAUAGGUGAAGUGAUGGCUUCCAACAAGGGAUAUUCAGGGAGGAAGAGAAAGAUAAAAGCCUUGGCCCUGGGGAAAACACUGAGAUUUGAAAAAUUUAUUAGAAAAGGGGGUGAAAUGAGAUGCUUGAAGGAGAAGAAAACAGUGGUAGUAAAUAACACAGCAGGCUUAGAUAUAUGCAGUUGUAUAGUCACUGAACUCACUGUUAAAAUCUAUCCAUGGGCCUGAGUGCCACUGGGCUAAUUCACUAAUUUGGCUCUGAAAGGUUGUGUGUGUGUGUGUGUGUGUGUGUGUGUGUGUGUGUGUCUUAAGUUGGCACUGGGUGCUGCUCCAGUGUGGCAUGCCAGGAAGGGGACCCUACAGGGCAGAACAUCUUAUUCUUACUGCAUGCACUGCUUUAAGCCUUGUCCCUGGCGAUUUGGGGAAAGAGCUGGAAAAAUAAAACAAAAUAAAAUAAAACAACUAGAUAAUUUUAUGGUGAUGCUGCCACAGUGCCACGACUUCUGCCUCACACCUUUCACAGAAAAUGAACCCUUGCUUGUUUUAUUUUUGGAUUAAUUUUUGUCUAAUUACACGUAUGUGUAUUAUGUGCUGAGUGUGUAUGUGCACAUGAGAGCUGUGCUUAUGGGGGCCAGCAGAGGGCGUCAGAUUCCCCUCAAGCUAAAGUUACAGAAGGCUGUAAGCUGCAUGACUUGGAUGCCUGGAACUAAGUUCCGGUUCUCUGCAAGAGUACUUUGUUUUUUUUUUUUUUUGGAGCUGGGGACCGAACCCAGGGCCUUGCACUUCCUAGGCAAGCGCUCUACCACUGAGCUAAAUCCCCAACCCCAGUACUUUGGUUUCUUAACUGCAGAGUCGUCUCUUCAGACCCAUUUGCUGUGUCUGGAUAACCUAAAACACCAAUGUGAAAUAUCCUUUUCUGUCCACCUUCAACAUGAUCCACAUCUGUGUCCAUUUGUGCUUGAGGAUCUCAGGACACUGGAAAAAAUGUAUCUGGCCACUCUCAAGUAUGUAUUUUUCCUUUACUGGGUAAAGUUCUUUUGGCUUCUUUAAGUAUUAAACAUUAAAUCAUCUCAUUAAUAAAAUUUGCAAUGUUAUAGUUAUUUCUCAUUUCAUUUCUAUGACUAUAUACACAUUUCUAGUUCUAAGAUGUAUUACAAAUACAGGAGACAGAGACAUUUUGUACGAGCUUCCCAAAUAUAGAUGGAAGCCAUCCAAAGGUGUCAGCAGCAACAUUUAAAUCUUCGUGCUGCUCUUUUUCCCAAAAUUUGGAUUAAUCAGGGUGCAUUUGAAACCUAUAAUACCACCAGGAUUACACCCUUAGAAUCACAAAAUGCCUAGAGUAUAAACAGGAAAGUCUCUCUCUCUCUCUCUCUCUCUCUCUCUCUCUCUCUCUCUCUCUCUCUCGAUGGCUCUGAAUUUUCUCUGCACACCUGUACUAUCAAGGUAACUUUUGCUAUAAACAGCAUUUUAAAAUUAUCACAUAAAAAACUAUCAAGCACUAAAUUAGAAAAAAACAGAAAUCCGAAAGUGAUAGUGAAAUUUAUGAAGCAAUUCUGCUACACUCAAAGGCUCAUUGCUUGGCAUGUAAAAAAUUUUUGAGCUGCCUGCAAGACCUGGGUAAGAAUUUCUCUUUCAGUGGGGAAACUUCGAGCCACAACAGGCUCCAAAUGAGAGCUGAGCGCAGAACGCAUGUGCUGCACAGGAGCGCUUGUUUGCAUGACUAAUAGAGAUAAUAUUAAAAGUGUUCUCUCAUCAUUUCAAUUUUUUCAUUAAUUUUUUUUUUAAAAAUUUGGCUGAGUGCCUUUUUUUUUUCCUACCUCCCAGAGCUGUUAAUUCCGUUCACUGCCGAGCACAAGUGAAAGUCACAGUCAAACAGCUUGUAAUGAGUUUUCAAUGGCCCAUCUCAAUGAAAUUGAGGGCAAAGACCAGCAGGCUCAGGCAGUGUCGGCCCUCGGAAUUUAUUAGCAAGGGCACAUUGUGUUCAGGGGCAGGUGUAGCGGUGGGACUGAACUUCCUGGGCUCUUCAAGGGGAACCCCAGUUCUUAUUAAGAAGUUGUGUUGGGAAGCAGGGGCUGGGAAAAUGGCUCGGUCGGUAAAGUGAUUGCUGCAUAAUUAUGGGGACAUGGGUUCAAUCCCUACCACUCACAUGGAAAUCUGGGCAUGGGGCUGUUAAGACGAUGCAUCCCCAGGACUUCCGGGUCAGCCAAUACCUGCAUCAUCUCCUCUAGUCAUGCACACACCUCAGCCUGCUGACAGUGAUGGGAACCAAAGGGAGUCAGGUUUCCUUCUUCGUUGUUUAUGUGUGUGUGAGUGUGUGCGUGCAUGUGUGAGAGUGUGAGUGUGUGUUCACACACCCACAUGAGUAGACCUGCAUUCGGUAGCCCAAGGUUGAUGUCAGGUGUCUUCCUUUAUUGAUCUCUACUGUAUACAAGACACAGUGUUUCACUGGAUCCAGAGGGCACUAUGUCAUGUUCUGGGGAUCCCUGCCUUUGCCUUCUCUUUCCCUGAGUCCUAGAGCCUGGAAUUCCCACACUCCGGCUUCCGCGGAUGUGCUUCACCUGUGGAGCAUCUCUCUGGCCUGCGUUCUAACUCUUAGCCGGUGCCUUUCUGUCGAGUUUCCUUACUGGACCAUUGCCAACAGAAUCUCUGUGACUAUGCCUCAGGAAAAAAUACCCUGUAAUUCACACAAUGCCUCUCUGCACGGGUGCAGGAUUCCCAUAUAACAAAAUUCUUUCUGAGCUUGACAAAUAUAUCCAAUCCUUGAAAACGGAGAAUAAUUUAACAACAGGUGCUUUGGCCAAAGAUGUUCACAAAGCACAUACAAUCAUAUAUCUGACUGAGCAGAGGCCAGGGAGGACCAAUGGCAUGCCACUUUUUAAAUUUUAUUUUAGUUUUGAGAUGGUCUUGCUAUGUGGCCCUGGCUAUCCUGGAAGUCACUGUGUAGAUCAGGUUGGCCCUGAAAUCAUCUGCCUCUGACUCCUGAGUGUUGGGAUUAAAGGUGUUUACUACUAGAUCUGGCUUAAAAGUUCUUAUUAAAGAGGAGACCAUGGUUUCUAUGAAAAUAACUUGUUCUGUGAAUGGAGGUUGGAGCCUCACACCAAUUUUAUAUCACAGAUAUGAAAUUAUCCCUGACUGCAAUGCUUAUUUUCAAAUUUAUCUAGAACCUACUUAGUGCGGGGCUCAACAGUGGGUGCCAGCAGUCGGGUGCUAGAACUGGUGAUGAGCACACACCCCUCCCCUCCUCUCCCCUCUUCAGUAAUUCAGUCCUUCAUUCGGUCACUCACUACAGAUUUCUAAGACUGCUUACCGACUUGUUUCUCUACAGAGCUCUUUUUAAAUGGCCUUUAAAAAUUCAUCUCUCUCUGUUUUAUAUGUGUGAGUAACAUGUCUGCAUGGAUGUAUGUGAGGCACGUUCCAGGAGCCUGUGCAGCCAGAGAAAGACAUCAGAUCCUCUCAGGACUAGAGCACCAGAUGGUGGUGAGCUGCUGUGGAGGUGCUGGAACCAAACCUGGGUCCUCUGCUAGAGCAGCAAGUGCUCUUUACCGUUGGUUAAGCCAGCUCUCCAGCCCCUCCUACAGAUUUCUUGAUGUGUAUUAGGAAGAAAAUCAUGGAUACAGUUCUGGAGGGAAAUGGCUGAUCUCCAUGUCACCUCAUUCAGCCUCACAUAGGACAUAAGGUUUAAGACAGAAGGGUGUACUUCCAAAGCCUUCCUCGAACCCUGGACUUCCUGUUCAUUUAACUAUGUGCUUCUCUGCAUUCAGCUUAGGGACUUCCACUCACACGCCUAUCCCAGCUCUUCCCCGAUCUCAUAGCAUUGCACAGAAAAUGGAACACCUAUUAAGUAUCUCAUACAGAACCCGUGGAAGAAUGCCUGGCGUUUCUAAGUACCAGACUGCACCCCAUGCUAAAUAUACUUCAAAACACGCAUGCACACAUACAGAGUUCUCUGUGUUUAUGAUGUAUGUAUAUCUGAAUGGCAUGCCUGGUACAAGAGACACAUUCACUCAUGUGCAUUUCUUAACUGUUUUUACAACGACCAUGCUGACAUCAGACAGAGGCUAAGUUAGUGAUGUGCCCAACACUCAAGCACGAUGACUGGUGACCCAUGUCUGGACACUUAACAGUUACAUGAAAAGUUAGGAUGAUGACAUUUGUCUGUAACCCAAGCACUGGGAGAGUGGAGUUCACUGGUCAGCCAGCAGAGCUCCCCUGAUAAGCUCUAGGUUCAGUGAGAGACCCUAGAUCGACAAAUGCCUCCACACGUGCCCAUGCACAUACACGUUCACUGGUGGGCACACAUGUGAAUACGCUCACAAGGAGACACAUACAUCCCAUACACACAUACACACGGGGUGGGGGUGGGGGCAGCAGAGGUAGAGAGACAGAGACAAGCAGCAAGUGCAGAACUGAACACUUUUUACAACAAUUUGAUGAUGUCCCUUAGUACAGAUUUCUUAAUAGGUGUUACGAACAGAGGCUAGGACUGAAAGGUGGGGGAAACAGCAGGUGUCUGGCAUCAAGUAAUUUGUGUGCCAGACUCUCUCACAUACCCUCCGUCUGCAUUAUUACAUCUAAUCCUGUGCCAGGCAGCUUCUCUAUCUGGUCUAUUUUGCUGUUUCGAGGUGGACUGCAAGUUAAGACAUUUGCCCCAAGUCACAAAAAUAUAAGGUAUCUUAGAUCAGAAGAGUCUGGCAUAGGACACCUGCAUAGAGCAAGGGUUAGACACAGUCCAUAAGGUCAACACGGCUUUAGUUUCUGUUGGCUUUUGUUUUUAAUUUUAAAGUGGAAAUGAGAGGGACAGUGUAUGAUUGGGUAAAGUCUGAAGAAGCCUGGACCUGUCCGACAUGGUAGUGCAUGCCUUUACUCUCAGUAUGGGGGAAGCAAAGGCAAGUAGACCUCUGUGAGCUUGAGGUCAGCCUGGUCUCCAUAAGGAAUUUCGGGCCAGCCACAGCUACAUCCUAAGGCUCCGGGUCAAACUGACUAACUUACUGACUGACUAACUAAUUCUGUACCCUGAAACUCAUUACUACCUUUAUAAUUCUGGGGGUAACUUUAUACAUAAGGAAAAAAGCAAGGUCUUCACGGUGAGUGGUAAAAAUUCAAAAGCCUGAACGCAAGGACAAGCUGCUUUACUGACUCUAACAGUGUCCAAAUGCUAAGAGAAUCAGUGCAGAGCACUGACUGGAAGGAAAUGGGCAAGUGUUUUACCACCCGAGUACGAGAAAGGAUCACAAGCAGAGAAAUCUACACAGGAAAGAAGUCGGUUCCUGCAUACAACCAGGUCCAGACUUACAGUUUUCUAAUUUGUGUUUUGCUUCAAAAUGGGGGUAGGGUAAGGUGGGGCUUAAAAGGGUCUUAUUAUGUAGGCCUGACUGGCCUGGAACUCAGUAGGUCAAACAGACUUGCUACUCCAAAACACAAAAAAUAAUCCUCCUGCCUCUGCCUCCUCCCAAGUAUUGAGGUUAUAGCUAAGUACCAGCAUGCCCAACCUAUUUCUUACAUUUUAUUUUACAGAAUAUCCAUUAGAGAGCCUGGCACUUAAUGGUUCAUACUGGGAAAUGUCACGCCAUGACUCUCUCCACCAUCAGUCCGUCUGCGGACAGCAGCAAUGGACAGGGUGAAGGAACAUCGACUGCUGUGCGGUGCUGUUAUACUGGGUGUUCCUGGGACAGCUUCAGCCAACACAAAGACAUCCACUCAGAUUGUUUCCUCCAGUGACGGCCACUUGCCUCCUCUUUCCCUUAGGGACUGUGUUUUGUGACAGCAUCAAGUGAAGAGACAGCAGGAAGGAGCAGGGAAUGUGGAGGCUGCCUGAGAAAGAGAGGCUCAAGGUUAAGCAAGGGCCUCUAGAGGACUGUGGGGCCUGGCAGGAGUCUCUGGACUUCUGGGGGUGGUGCUUCCCUGCAUCUAGAUAUGGAAAGAUUUGCAGCAGACUUUUGAUCUUGUAACCAUGAUCUCAUUAAAAGUAAACUAGGAAACCUA
This is a non-coding RNA of Rattus norvegicus (Norway rat), 6414 nucleotides long. The record is from RefSeq and is a predicted model, not a curated record. Lineage: Eukaryota; Metazoa; Chordata; Mammalia; Rodentia; Muridae.